AGAGUUUGAUCAUGGCUCAGGAUGAACAUUGGCGGCAUGCUUAACACAUGCAAGUCGCACGCCCCUUCGGGGGAGUGGCGCACGGGUGCGUAACACGUAGGUGAUCUGCCCUGAAGUGGGGAAUAACCGUGAGAAAUCAUGGCUAAUACCGCAUAGACUCAGCGAUGAGUAAAGCAGCAAUGCGCUUUAGGAGGAGCCUGCGGCCUAUCAGCUAGUAGGUGGGGUAACAGCCUACCAAGGCGACGACGGGUAGCUGAUCUGAGAGGAUGGUCAGCCACAGGGGAACUGAGACACGGUCCCCACUCCUACGGGAGGCAGCAGUGAGGAAUGUUGGGCAAUGGGCGCAAGCCUGACCCAGCAAUGCCGCGUGCGGGACGAAGGUCCUCGGAUCGUAAACCGCUUUUGUGGGGGAGUAGCAAGGAGAGUACCCCACGAAUAAGUCACGGCUAACUACGUGCCAGCAGCCGCGGUAAUACGUAGGUGACAAAUGUUAUCCGGAAUCACUGGGCGUAAAGGGUCUGUAGGCGGUCUUUUAGGUCUGAUGUGACAACUCGUGGCUUAACUGCGAGAAUGCAUUGGAAACCGGAGGACUAGAAUCACGUUGAGGUCGGUGGAAUUCCCGGUGUAGUGGUGGAAUGCGUAGAGAUCGGGAGGAACCUCGAAAGCGAAGGCAGCCGGCUAAACGAUGAUUGACGCUGAGGGACGAUAGCGUGGGUAGCAAACAGGAUUAGAUACCCUGGUAGUCCACGCCGUAAACGAUGUGUGCUCGGUGUGUGUGGGUAAAACCAUGCGCGCCUCAGCUAACGCGAUAAGCACACCGCCUGGGGAGUACGGCCGCAAGGCUAAAACUCAAAGGAAUUGACGGGGACCCGCACAAGCAGCGGAGCGUGUGGUUUAAUUCGAUGCGACGCGAAGAACCUUACCUAGGUUUGACAUGACUCUGGUAGCGAAGGGAAACCUAAGCGACCCGCAAGGGAGGAGCCACAGGUGCUGCAUGGCUGUCGUCAGCUCGUGUCGUGAGAUGUUGGGUUAAGUCCCGCAACGAGCGCAACCCUCGGCGUAUGUUUUACAUGUCAUACGCAACUGCCCGCCAUAAGCGGGAGGAAGGUGGGGAUGACGUCAAGUCAGCAUGGCCUUUAUAUCUAGGGCGACACACACGCUACAAUGGCGCGUACAAUGGGCAGCGAGUGGGCGACCACAAGCAAAUCUCUUAAAGCGCGUCUUAGUUCGGAUUGGAGUCUGCAACUCGACUCCAUGAAGGCGGAGUUGCUAGUAACCGCGCGUCAGCCACAGUGCGGUGAAUGCGUUCCCGGGUCUUGUACACACCGCCCGUCACGUCAUGGAAGCCGGUAAUACCUGAAGUCGGAUGAGGAACCUUCGGGACCUGUCUGCCGAGGGUAGGACUGGUGACUGGGACGAAGUCGUAACAAGGUAGCAGUACCGGAAGGUGCGGCUGGAUCACCUCCUU
This 1468-nucleotide ribosomal RNA is filed under the name uncultured Chloroflexus sp. Its description in RNAcentral is "bacterial SSU rRNA". It matches the Rfam family "Bacterial small subunit ribosomal RNA". Lineage: Bacteria; Bacillati; Chloroflexota; Chloroflexia; Chloroflexales; Chloroflexaceae. The record is from RNAcentral.